RNAcentral lists this ribosomal RNA (400 nucleotides) under uncultured bacterium. Its description in RNAcentral is "bacterial SSU rRNA". It matches the Rfam family "Bacterial small subunit ribosomal RNA", at positions 355 to 772 of the family's 1533-position model. The record is from RNAcentral.
UGGGGAAUUUUGCGCAAUGGGGGAAACCCUGACGCAGCGACGCCGCGUGGAGGAUGAAGGUCUUCGGAUUGUAAACUUCUUUUGUUGGGGACAAUAGUGAUGGUACCCGACGAAUAAGCCACGGCUAACUCUGUGCCAGCAGCCGCGGUAAGACAGAGGUGGCAAGCGUUGUUCGGAAUUACUGGGCUUAAAGGGCGCGUAGGUGGUGAUAUAAGUCCGAGGUGGAAGGCUAAGGCUUAACCUUGGGAUUGCCUUGGAAACUAUAUUACUUGAGUCAGACAGGGGAUGGCGGAAUUCCUGGUGUAGCGGUGAAAUGCGUAGAUAUCAGGAGGAAGGCCGGUGGCGAAGGCGGCCAUCUGGGUCUGAACUGACACUGAGGCGCGAAAGCGUGGGGAGCAAA